GAGGUAGAUCUCAGGCUGACCUAUAAGACCUGGUUUACGUUCGCCCAGCCUAAAGAAAGGCAGACCCAUAUGGACAGGCAGAAAGGAGCCCCAUGAACUCUGCAAUGUUGAUGACAAAAAUGGAUGCGUUUGUUCUGAACAUCAUAUCAUGCAGAACUAAUACUAUGAGACGUAACUAAAGAGCUUUAUAGAUGGAGGACAAAUCACCAAGGUGGAGUCCAAAUGAGUAGCCACCAUUUGUCAGAAAAAAGGUCAAGAGGACUAAAUCUCAAGAUGGGCUCAGACUUUCAGAAAGGUUGAAUAAAAGCAACAGAAAGCAAGGGCCCUGUUGCCAAGUCUGAGGACCUGUUUUCUGCCGCCAAGGUCAUAUGGGAACCACAAGGAAAGCCAAGAAUGUGAUAAAGUGAAAAUAACAAAA
Pogona vitticeps (central bearded dragon) is the source of this 418-nucleotide non-coding RNA. The record is from RefSeq and is a predicted model, not a curated record. NCBI's taxonomy places the organism in Eukaryota, Metazoa, Chordata, Lepidosauria, Squamata, Agamidae.